Molecule: ribosomal RNA, 401 nt
Filed under: uncultured bacterium
Lineage: Bacteria
Description: bacterial SSU rRNA
Rfam family: Bacterial small subunit ribosomal RNA
Source: RNAcentral
AUUGAACGCUGGCGGCAUGCCUAACACAUGCAAGUCGAACGGCAGCACAGUGCGUAGCAAUACGUAUGGGUGGCGAGUGGCGGACGGGUGAGGAAUGCAUCGGAAUCUACCCAGUAGCGGGGGAUAACCUGGGGAAACUCAGGCUAAUACCGCAUACGACCUAUGGGUGAAAGCGGGGGACCGUAAGGCCUCGCACUAUUGGAUGAGCCGAUGCCGGAUUAGCUAGUUGGUAGGGUAACGGCCUACCAAGGCGACGAUCCGUAGCUGGUCUGAGAGGACGAUCAGCCACACCGGAACUGAGACACGGUCCGGACUCCUACGGGAGGCAGCAGGUGGGGAAUAUUGGAACAAGUGGGGGAAACCCUGAUCCAGCAAUGCCGCGUGUGUGAAGAAGGCCUGGC